UCAAGCAUGAGAAGAGUAUUCGGUGGAUGCCUUGGCACACACAGGCGAUGAAGGACGUGAUAGGAUGCGAUAAGCUGCGGGGAGGUUCCAAUACCCUUUGAUCCGCAGAUUUCCGAAUGGGGCAACCCACUUUAAGUGAUCAGUGUUUUAGAGUUUGUUUGCAAAUUCUAAUCUCUGAUCACUAUUAUAAAGUAAUUUAAACUGAAUACAUAGGUUUAAAUAGCGAACCAGGUGAACUGAAAUAUCUAAGUAGCCUGAGGAAAAGAAAUCAAUUGAGACUCCGCUAGUAGUGACGAGCGAACGCGGACUAGACCAGUAGCUAUAGAAAAAUAAUUGGAAUCUGUUGGAAACCAGAGCCAUAGUAGGUGAUAGCCCUGUAUAAGUAAUAUAUUUAUAGUUCGUGAGUAAGGCGGGACACGUGAAAUCCUGUCUGAAUAUGGGGGGGCCACCCUCCAAGUCUAAGUACUCGUGUGUGACCGAUAGUGAACUAGUACCGUGAGGGAAAGGUGAAAAGCACCCCGACAAGGGGAAUGAAAUAGUACCUGAAACCGAAUACUUACAAGCAGUCGGAGGCUCGCAAGGGCUGACGGCGUACCUCUUGUAUAAUGGGUCAGCGACUUAGUGUAAGUGGCAAGCUUAAGCCGUUAGGUGUAGGCGCAGCGAAAGCGAGUGUUAAAAGCGCGUUAAGUCUCUUGCAUUAGACCCGAAACUUAGUGAUCUAGCCAUGGUCAGGCUGAAGGUGAGGUAACACUUGCUGGAGGGCCGAACUCACGUCUGUUGAAAAAGACGGGGAUGAACUGUGGCUAGGGGUGAAAGGCCAAUCAAACUGAGAUAUAGCUGGUUCUCCGCGAAAUCUAUUUAGGUAGAGCGUCAAGAUAAUACACUGUUGGGGGUAGAGCACUUAUUCGGCUAGGGGGUCCCAAAGACUUACCAACCCGAGUAAAACUCCGAAUACCAACAAGUGCUUUCUUGGCAGGCAGCACGUGGGUGAUAACGUCCACGAGCGAGAGGGGAAUAACCCAGACCGUCAAUUAAGGUCCCCAAAUCAUAGUUAAGUGUGAAAGGAUGUUGAAACUCCAACACAGUCAGGAAGUUGGCUUAGAAGCAGCCAUCUUUUAAAGAUAGCGUAAUAGCUCACUGAUCUAAUUAAGAGUUUCGGCGCCUAAGAUGUAUCGGGGCUAAAACUAUGUACCGAAAUUACGGAUAUGUUAUAUAACUUUGUGGCGAUUAGUAUUGAGUGGUCAGUAGUCAGCAAUUUGUUGACCUCGUUGACCACUGACCAUUUUGUACUAAUCGCCCCUUAUAUAAUAUGUGGUAGCGGAGCUCUCUGUAAGUCUGUGAAGGUGUAUCGUAAGGUAUGCUGGAGAUAUCAGAGGUGAGAAUGCUGACAUGAGUAACGAUCAGGGGAGCGAGAAACUCCCCCGCCGAAAUCCCAAGGUUUCCUGCUUAAAGCUAAUCUUAGCAGGGUUAGUCGGACCCUAAGGCGAGGCCGAAAGGCGUAGUCGAUGGAAAACAGGUUAAUAUUCCUGUACCAGUGUGGAUGUGACGCAUCUAGUAACUUGUUCUCUCUUAUUGGAUUGAGAGGGCCGGGAAUAGGUGCCAGGAAAUAGCCCACACAUAGACCGUACCUUAAACCGACACAGGUGGGAUGGUAGAGUAUACCAAGGUGUUUGAGAUAACGAUGCUGAAGGAACUAGGCAAUUUGCACUCGUAACUUCGGAAGAAGAGUGGCCUCUUUAUAGGCAACUAUAAUUAGGUGGCACAGAGCAGGGGGUGGCGACUGUUUAUUAAAAACACAGGGCUAUGCUAAGCGGUAUAACGCGAUGUAUAUGGUCUGACGCCUGCCCGGUGCCGGAAGGUUAAGUGAUGGAGUGCAAGCUCUGGAUCGAAGCCCCGGUGAACGGCGGCCGUAACUAUGACGGUCCUAAGGUAGCGAAAUUCCUUGUCGGGUAAG
RNAcentral lists this ribosomal RNA (1954 nucleotides) under bioreactor sludge metagenome. Its description in RNAcentral is "bacterial LSU rRNA". It matches the Rfam family "Bacterial large subunit ribosomal RNA", at positions 1 to 1980 of the family's 2925-position model. The record is from RNAcentral.